Molecule: ribosomal RNA, 431 nt
Filed under: uncultured Alphaproteobacteria bacterium
Lineage: Bacteria; Pseudomonadati; Pseudomonadota; Alphaproteobacteria
Description: bacterial SSU rRNA
Rfam family: Bacterial small subunit ribosomal RNA
Source: RNAcentral
AACGCGAAGAACCUUACCAGCUCUUGACAUGUCCAGUAUGGGGCCGAGAGAUCGACUCCUUCAGUUCGGCUGGCUGGAACACAGGUGCUGCAUGGCUGUCGUCAGCUCGUGUCGUGAGAUGUUGGGUUAAGUCCCGCAACGAGCGCAACCCUCAUCUUCAGUUGCCAUCAGGUAAUGCUGGGCACUCUGAAGGAACUGCCGGUGACAAGCCGGAGGAAGGCGGGGAUGACGUCAAGUCCUCAUGGCCUUUAUGGGCUGGGCUACACACGUGCUACAAUGGCGGUGACAGAGGGACGCGAAGGGGCAACCCUUGGCCAAUCUCAAAAAGCCGUCUCAGUUCGGAUUGUUCUCUGCAACUCGAGAGCAUGAAGCUGGAAUCGCUAGUAAUCGCGGAUCAGCACGCCGCGGUGAAUACGUUCCCGGGCCUUGUA